AGUGAACGCUGGCGGUAGGCCUAACACAUGCAAGUCGAACGGCAGCACAGUAAGAGCUUGCUCUUACGGGUGGCGAGUGGCGGACGGGUGAGGAAUACAUCGGAAUCUACUUUUUCGUGGGGGAUAACGUAGGGAAACUUACGCUAAUACCGCAUACGACCUACGGUUGAAAGCAGGGGAUCUUCUGACCUUGCGCGAUUGAAUUAGCCGAUGUCGGAUUAGCUAGUUGGCGGGGUAAAGGCCCACCAAGGCGACGAUCCGUAGCUGGUCUGAGAGGAUGAUCAGCCACACUGGAACUGAGACACGGUCAAGACUCCUAAGGGAGGCAGCAGUGGGGAAUAUUGGACAAAGGGCGCAAGCCUGAUCCAGCCAUACCGCGUGGGUGAAGAAGGCCUUCGGGUUGUAAAGCCCUUUUGUUGGGAAAGAAAAGCAGCAGGUUAAUACCCAGCUGUUCUGACGGUACCCAAAGAAUAAGCACCGGCUAACUUCGUG
RNAcentral lists this ribosomal RNA (492 nucleotides) under uncultured bacterium. Its description in RNAcentral is "partial 16S ribosomal RNA". It matches the Rfam family "Bacterial small subunit ribosomal RNA", at positions 29 to 507 of the family's 1533-position model. The record is from RNAcentral.